CUGGAGCAGCCCUUAUGGGAAGAAAGACCUUUCAAGCAACAGCCUGAAGAAGUAAUUUAUGCUGUUUCAGGAAGUUCUGCAACCCCUCUUAUUUCUAUGAUAGUUUCCAAUAACACACGGCGAAUGAUUUGUUUUACAUGGUGAUUUAAGUGAUUUAUUUCCAAUGAAUUGUAUUUCAAUUAUGAAAUAUUGUACUUGGUUGCCAUGGUGAUUUAAGUGAUUUGUUUGACAUGAUGAUCAGGCUUCAAGGGAAUCCUGUAUGUACUAAUGCAAAUGAAGUCAACAUAAUCAAGUUCUGUGGGUCUCAGAAUGGAAAUGGAGUGACACCUGGAGGCUCAACAAACGCCACGCCCAUUUGUCCCACUCUAUCAUGCCAUGCAGAUUUCAAUUUUGAAUGUUUUAGAAUCUUGCCUUUUUUUUUUUUUUUUUUUUUUAAAUGAAUUAAAAGUCUCUCGUGGUGCUUGUGAAGAAGAACCUACAGGUAAUCUAUCAAAUUUUCAGAAACCUUUCGGGCAUGAUCCGAUCCUUGCGUGCUGAACUUCUAGAAGAAAGGCAUUAUGCGGCAUUUGAAUGACAUGGGUGAUUCAGAAACUCUCAUCCAUGAGCCAUAGGAGUCCUCUUUGCUAGUAGAAAAUGAUGAAAAGAACUCGGUUGGUAAUUUCAAGAGCUCCAUGGAUGCUAACAAAAAGCGUAAAAGACGAAGUAUUGCCAGAUUGGCAAAGGAAGGGCUCAAAAGAAGGUUGAACAAGAGAAGAUACCAAGUAGCCAUUUCAAGGCAAGGCAUAGCCAAUAGUUGAAGUUCCGGGCAAUUUCUUUUGUAUAGGUCCUAGUUUGGGGGGGG
Molecule: long non-coding RNA, 841 nt
Organism: Magnolia sinica
Lineage: Eukaryota; Viridiplantae; Streptophyta; Magnoliopsida; Magnoliales; Magnoliaceae
Exons: 4
Source: RefSeq, a predicted model, not a curated record